UGGCUCAGAACGAACGCUGGCGGCAGGCCUAACACAUGCAAGUCGAGCGCCCCGCAAGGGGAGCGGCAGACGGGAGAGUAACACGUGGGAACGUACCCUUCAGUUCGGAACAACCAAGGGAAACUUUGGCUAAUACCGAAUACGUCCGUAAGGAGAAAGAUUUAUCGCUGAAGGAUCGGCCCGCGUCUGAUUAGCUAGUUGGUGGGGUAAUGGCCCACCAAGGCGACGAUCAGUAGCUGGUCUGAGAGGAUGAUCAGCCACACUGGGACUGAGACACGGCCCAGAGACCUACGGGAGGCAGC
RNAcentral lists this ribosomal RNA (302 nucleotides) under uncultured Hyphomicrobiales bacterium. RNAcentral's name for it is "bacterial SSU rRNA". It matches the Rfam family "Bacterial small subunit ribosomal RNA", at positions 20 to 352 of the family's 1533-position model. Lineage: Bacteria; Pseudomonadati; Pseudomonadota; Alphaproteobacteria; Hyphomicrobiales. The record is from RNAcentral.